GCUAGCGGCAGGCUUAAUACAUGCAAGUCGAGGGGCAGCGCGGGUAGCAAUACUUGGCGGCGACCGGCAAACGGGUGCGGAACACGUACGCAACCUCCCCGGAACAGGUGAAUAGCCUUGCGAAAGUAAGAUUAAUACACCGUACCAUAUAGAUGCGGCAUCGCAACUAUAUUAUAGGUAGCAAUACCGGUUCCGGAUGGGCGUGCGCCUGAUUAGGUAGUUGGUGCGGGUAACGGCCCACCAAGCCUUCGAUCAGUAACUGGUGUGAGAGCACGACCAGUCACACGGGCACUGAGACACGGGCCCGACUCCUACGGGAGGCAGCAGUAAGGAAUAUUGGUCAAUGGACGCAAGUCUGAACCAGCCAUGCCGCGUGGAGGAUGACGGCCCUCUGGGUUGUAAACUCCUUUUAUCUGGGACGAAAAACGGACUUUCUAGUUCACUUGACGGUACCAGAGGAAUAAGCACCGGCUAACUCCGUGCCAGCAGCCGCGGUAAUACGGAGGGUGCAAGCGUUAUCCGGAUUUACUGGGUUUAAAG
Molecule: ribosomal RNA, 540 nt
Filed under: uncultured bacterium
Lineage: Bacteria
Description: bacterial SSU rRNA
Rfam family: Bacterial small subunit ribosomal RNA
Source: RNAcentral